UUGCACGCUGGCGGCCUGCUUUACCCCUGCAAGUCGCACGGUAACAGGCCUUCGGGUGCUGACGAGUGGCGAACGGGUGAGUAAUGCAUCGGAACGUACCCAGAGGUGGGGGAUAACGCAGCGAAAGCUGUGCUAAUACUGCAUGUGAUCUGAGGAUGAAAGCGGGGGACCGAGCAGCAAUGUUUGGCCUCGCGCCUUUGGAGCGGCCGAUGUCGGAUUAGCUAGUUGGUGGGGUAAAGGCCUACCAAGGCGACGAUCCGUAGCUGGUCUGAGAGGACGACCAGCCACACUGGGACUGAGACACGGCCCAGACUCCUACGGGAGGCAGCAGUGGGGAAUUUUGGACAAUGGGCGCAAGCCUGAUCCAGCAAUGCCGCGUGCGGGAAGAAGGCCUUCGGGUUGUAAACCGCUUUUGGCAGGAACGAAACGGUGUCCGCUAAUACCGGGCGCUAAUGACGGUACCUGCAGAAUAAGCACCGGCUAACUACGUG
RNAcentral lists this ribosomal RNA (491 nucleotides) under uncultured bacterium. RNAcentral's name for it is "partial 16S ribosomal RNA". It matches the Rfam family "Bacterial small subunit ribosomal RNA", at positions 29 to 507 of the family's 1533-position model. The record is from RNAcentral.